Hyaena hyaena (striped hyena) is the source of this 375-nucleotide long non-coding RNA. RefSeq lists it as uncharacterized. The transcript is spliced from 3 exons. The record is from RefSeq and is a predicted model, not a curated record. NCBI's taxonomy places the organism in Eukaryota, Metazoa, Chordata, Mammalia, Carnivora, Hyaenidae.
CAAACAUCGCAGACACUGCCCGAGAAGGAACUGCUCUUAAAAAUCAUGGUCCACCAGAGGUAAUUAAUUCUACGUGAGGUGACAGGGCAAGGCCUUGGUAAGGGAACAUCAGCCUUCCUGGAACCAGACUUUUCUUCGUGGAACUGAAUUCUGAGCCAAGCCAGUGCUGAAAAGGCUAAAAGUCCCGGGAAGUUUUUUCUGGGCUAUAUGACUCCCUGCGUGGGCGAAAGAAACAGGCGGUUGCUCUAAUUCGGCUGCCGGGCAAGUGUAAAAGCCAACUGCCAGCUUUCAACGCGGCUCCGGGAGGAAAUUUACGCGCACAUGAAGAAAACACCACCCCCGGUCUUUUUUGGUCUUUCUUUUUAAGGAAAAAUA